UGCUAACCAUUAACCCCGGGGAACUUCACGCAAGUUUUCCUUAGUUCCAUGAUUGCUCCUUGUGAAAUAUUGAAUUCUGUAGAUUAUCCAUGAUGUUUGUAAUUAAAAUAUUUAAUUCAUUAACGAUUUUGUCCUAUUAUGCCGAUCAUUUACACUCAUUUCAUUAAAUGCAUCACUUGACUGCCACAUUUUCAAGGAAUGGGACUACUGACCUAGCUAUGCAAAUGACCCACGUUGACGUCACACCAUCUACGACGUAACUCUCACAAGAUUGAGCGCCAAAUUUGACUCAAUUCAUUUUCUCUGUCUCCGUAUUAAAAACGUCUUAUAUUUGACUACCUGUAGGGUUCUACCAAAGGUAGUACCCUACACCCCGUAGAAACUAUGUAAAAUUUCCAAAUUUCAAUAAAACUUUUUUAGAUAAUGAAAAAAACGUUGUUUUCACGUUACACUUUGUACCCGAAUUUCCAUAAAACUCGCCCGAUU
RNAcentral lists this long non-coding RNA (486 nucleotides) under Mytilus galloprovincialis (Mediterranean mussel). Lineage: Eukaryota; Metazoa; Mollusca; Bivalvia; Mytilida; Mytilidae. The record is from RNAcentral.